Molecule: long non-coding RNA, 890 nt
Filed under: Macaca nemestrina (pig-tailed macaque)
Lineage: Eukaryota; Metazoa; Chordata; Mammalia; Primates; Cercopithecidae
Description: lncRNA (ENSMNEG00000045973.1)
Source: RNAcentral
GUCCGCGCCCCCACCCGAAAGGACGACGUCUCCCCCCCCAAGGGGAAUUCCGCACUAAGGCCGUAAUAGGGGCUUUUCCCCCCCCCCCCUUUUUUUUUUUUUUUUUUUUUGAGACGGAGUCCCGCUCUUCCUGCUCAGUCGCCCAGGCUGGAGUGCAGUGGCGCUAUCUUCUCGGCUCACUGCAACCUCCACCUCCCAGGUUCAAGUGAUUCUUCUGCCUCAGCCUCCCAAGUAGGUGGGAUUACAGGCGUCCGCCGUCAUGCCUGGCGAAUUUUUGUACUUUUGGUAGAGAUGGGGUUUCUUCAUGUUGGCCAGGCUGGUCUUGAACUCCUGAGUCACCACUCUUUAAUGCCGCUGUUCCCCUCCUGUUCCUUCUGUGUCGGUCUCCGAACGCCCGGCGCAAGGCACUACUCGGAAUCGGAGAGGGAGAGAGCCGCGAGACCCAGAGAAAAAGAGGGCUGAAGAGCGCGUGAGACGUCAAGGUUCUGUAAUCCAAGAUGUCUAUAAAGAACUGGGAUAUCAAUAGGAAAUCAUCUUCAUCCAGACUUAUUCCUGAGUGGAAGAACUUGAAGUUCCUCAUAAAUAAGAUCCUGAAGGACAUAAAGAUUGAUGAAGAACCAAAGAAUGAUGUGGUUCUACUAAGUGACUGGCCUGAGACUCUAUACCGGGAGUCUCACCAUCGCCAGAACAAACCUUUUGUCUGCUUCUACUACUCCAUCAAGAUCAACUGUUUUAUCUCCUUAAACUGGAUGGAACCUGGUGGAAAAAUGCAGGCAGUACUUUGGAUACAGAAAAAGGGUACAGAAAUGAAAGGAAUGGUAGAGAAGAUGAGGCUUCGCGUGAUGGAUCAGCUGCCGCCCAUCCAAGCAAUGGUCCACACAGGUUCCUAC